UAUCUGCCAGAGCUACAGAGACUUCACGUACUCUUGAUACCGCCAGCUUGACAAUUUUACUCAUAGUUCCUUUCAUGUUUUUUGAUUUUAUUCUUACAUUUUCAAUGUUGUCGGCGCAUUCUAAAAGCAUCUCAGAGAGUGUAGUACAUGGCUGGAACUCAUAUUCGUUCAUGUCGGCCGUGUCAUUCUCAUCAGUUUCUGAGGCGUAUUCGGUUUCUGUAUCGUACUACCGACGAUGAAGGAGUCUUAAAAAUUUCAAAUUGUCCUGUCAACGGUGAGGCGUCUAACUGUGAACUCGAAGAUUGCGGAGGACUUCGCUGUAGAGUGCGACUUGGACGGUGUACACUCUCAUAACUCUGAGAUUGUAGAACAUUAUUUAAGUGUGCCUCAUCCUCAUACAUAGGGAGGAAGCCAUUAAUGGUGAACAAAUGACGCUUCGUGCACAAGGGAGCGGGCAGGACAGGAAGGGGUGCACCCGCACCAGCAUUGUUGCCUGGUACUCUCCGGAACUCCGGGGACCGCCUGCUUCCACUUGACCCUCCCGGACAUCGGACGGAGGGCACUCGCUCGUCAGCACGAUGAGGAUUCCGACAUCCUCAUUCGGUGUGCACUACCUGGCUAGGGCUCGAAAGGGUCAUCUCCUGACAUCAUACGACGGUAAAUGCCUCGGCAGCGUACGCACAUCAGCCCGAGACAAAAGCCAGAUGGGAACAACCUGACCCGACGCGGGCACUCCCAGCACCCCGCCGUAAGUGCCGGCCCAUACAUCAUUCACACAAGUUCAUUCAUACACCUAACUAUAGAUCACUUACUCAUCAUUCACUCUAAUCAUAAACCAU
Molecule: long non-coding RNA, 839 nt
Organism: Ceratina calcarata
Lineage: Eukaryota; Metazoa; Arthropoda; Insecta; Hymenoptera; Apidae
Exons: 3
Source: RefSeq, a predicted model, not a curated record